RNAcentral lists this ribosomal RNA (477 nucleotides) under Triticum aestivum (bread wheat). RNAcentral's name for it is "partial small subunit ribosomal RNA". Lineage: Eukaryota; Viridiplantae; Streptophyta; Magnoliopsida; Poales; Poaceae. The record is from RNAcentral.
CGAGUUCCCAAAAAUAAUAAAGAGAUAACUCCAUUCGAGGAAUGGGAGAAGAAAAGGUUAAAGCUCUCUUAUCUACGAACCUGGGGUUGUUUGGCGAAAGUCAAUGUGCCAAUUCCAAAGAAGCGGAAGCUGGGACCAAAAACUGUGGAUUGUGUUUUCCUAGGAUAUGCUUUUAAUAGCAUUGGUUAUAGAUUCUUGGUUGUAAAAUCUGAGGUACCUACCAUGCAUGUCGGUACGAUCAUGGAAUCGAAUGAUGGAACUUUCUUUGAAGAUAUCUUUCCCAUGAAGGAUAUGGCUACCUCAUCUAAUCAGGAGAUGACUAGUUCAUCAAAUCAGGAACCGGUUACAAUUACUGAACCUGCCAUUUCGAUGGAACACUUUGAAAGUCCUCUGGAACAGAACAAUGAAGUUCCUACUAGAAGCAAGAGAUGGUGGACUUCAAGUCCUUUGGUGAUGAUUUUCUUGUGUAUUACAUAG